Molecule: long non-coding RNA, 2052 nt
Organism: Bubalus bubalis (water buffalo)
Lineage: Eukaryota; Metazoa; Chordata; Mammalia; Artiodactyla; Bovidae
Exons: 3
Source: RefSeq, a predicted model, not a curated record
UCUUAGCUAAGAAAUACAGGCUGCAGUGGGAUAGAUGGCAAUUCCUGCAACCUGAAGCCAUUAAAUCUGGCUAAGACCACUGAAUUCAGGUCUAACAUUUUCUAGUAGGUUUAAAAUUUGAAACCUUAUAGACAUUAAUGGAUCACACAUGGCUACCCACAAGGAGAAAGAUCUAUCCAAAGCGGCCUUCAGGCUUCAUCUCUGCGUGACCCUAGUGCUAAAGCCCAGACUGGGAUUCCAAGCAAAACCCUUGGGCCUUAGGAGCCUCUUGGGAGACUUACACCUUAGGAGUACUCCCUCUUCCUUGCCAAGCUGUAACCUACUGAUAAAAACGGGCAGUUGGGGGUGAGGCUUUCCUUUCCUUCCUGAUCUCCUCGCCUCUCCCUUAAUCUCCAGCUUCCCAAACUGCAGCGGCCGUCACCUCCAUCCUGGGAGCAGGGCUUCGCCGUGGCCACCGCCCGCUGCAGCCAUUCUGUCCCGAGGUUGGCAGCUGCGCGGGGUGCAGCUUCCUGUGGGGAACGGGGAGGGCGCGCGUGGGGGCGGGGCUUCCACGCCCUCUCCAGGAGCUGGGAGGCGGGGCCUCAACAGAACACCCCUCCCACAGCCAUCCUGCCCGCUGGAUUUCACAAACCGCCUCUCAGUUAAUCUAGCACUCCUUAGAGAGGCGACAAAGGCUGUUUUGUAAUUACUUCUUUCCCCAAAUACUUUGUUGUUUAGUCACUAUGUCGUGUCCAUCUCUUUGCGACCCCAUGCACUGUAGCUCACCAGGCUCUUCUGACCAUGAACUCCAGGCAAGAAUAAUGGAGUAGGUAGCCGUUCCCUUCUCCAGGGUAUCUUCCCAACCCAGGGAUUGAACCCAGGUGCCCUGCAUUCUAGGUGGAUUGUAUGCCAUCUGAGCCACCAGGGGAGCGCCUCUCAAAUACUUACCUUGACCUUAAUGAGUAGGACCUGUUUCUCACGUCAAAACAGUAUGAAAAUGGUAAAGAACAUGAGCUCUGGGAUUGGAAUCUCAAUUCUACCUACAAUCCUAAAUCUGAAGAGAAGAUUAAUGAGAUCAUAUAAAAUCAUAGAAAUGAAUGAUGAAUUAAGAAGAAACUGGCAAGAAAUGGACUUGAAUGGACGUAACAUAUUUUGGGAAGGAAAUGUCAUCCUACCUCAGGUGCUGGAUGUUGAGUGGAGACUCCUUUCAUUGAUUAUGAUCUCAGCUUCCAUCUGAUUAUUUGAGGUUCCCAAGGGAGGACUGCCCAGCUGAGCUCAUCAGCUGCCCAAACCUUGAAAGAUAAACUGUUAAACCACUAAGUUUUGAGGCGGUGCAAGUGGUAAAGAAACCACCUGCCAAUGCAGGAGACAAGACGCAGGAGACGAGACACAAGAGAUGUGGGUUUGAUCCCAGUGUUGGGAAGAUCCCCUGGAGGAGGAAAUGGCAACCUACUCCACUAUUCUUACCUGGAGAAUUCCAUGGACAGACAAGCCUGGUAGGCUACAGUCCAUGGGGUUGCAAAAGAAUUGGACACAACUAAACAUGCACACAUAAUGCAUGCAGAAAUAGAUAAACAGAACGUUUACCUUAUGCCAGCUUGAUGAGUUUCAUAACUGAGAUGUCAUGUUGAUCUUACAGAAAAUGAGAGGUUGCAAAUGCAUCUGAAAUUUUCAUGUAAAUAAUACUGUAGGCUAGGUUUUUUUUUUUUUAAUAAACUUACUCAUGUAAUAUCUAGGUCUUAUUUUCAUUAAAAUGUUCUAGUAUUAAAUAACAUAUUUGAGUCAUAUUUUAUGAUCAUGCCUUCAAGAUUGGGGAUACUAUUAAUUUGGAAAUCUGAUUUUCAGCUCUUCCACAUAAUCACUAGAAUUUUCCAUUCUUGCCAGUAAAUGCUGUCACCUAUCCAUGGGAUCAAACUGAGUGAGAAAUAGAUUAAUAUUCUUUAUUAAAUGUUAACUUUUGUUUUUGAUUCAUGCCAUGAUUUGUCUAGAUAUUGCUCUUUACAUUAGUUUCUUAAGGGGGCUUUAUUGUUUCAUAAAGAAUGAUUUUACAGAUAUUUAAAAACAGGAGGAGAA